RNAcentral lists this unclassified non-coding RNA (2118 nucleotides) under Hevea brasiliensis (rubber tree). The record is from RNAcentral. Lineage: Eukaryota; Viridiplantae; Streptophyta; Magnoliopsida; Malpighiales; Euphorbiaceae.
CUGCAUUUAAUCAUAAACAUUUCCCAAUUUAAUAUUUUAUCACAGGACAACUUUCACAACACAGCUUUCACGUAUUCAUGCUAUACAGGGAGAAUAAAAUAAGCCUCGUAAACUACAAAAUCCUCUAAAUGUUGCUGCCAUGUAAGGAAAAGUAACAUGAUUCAAGAUCUUCAAUCUAUAUCGUGACGAGUGCUGCUGCUUUUUUUCCUUCUUCACAUACUUCGUUGAUCACAAACUUGAUUUUAGUUUACACAACUUUUUUCUUCCAUGAACCCGCAAUUUAGCAAGAAUUUGUUCCCGCAUCAACCAUCAGUGAUAAUGAUUUAUCAGCUGCAGUUACAUUAUGAACGCUUCUUUUUCUCUUGUUUUCAUGUAGCCGCAUUGAUUUGUUUAAAGCCUGGUCAGCCUUGGAGACAAUUUUUGAGACAGUGAAUCCUGCUACUUCAAAAAUCUGUGAUCUAAAAGGAAUUAAAGAAUUACGAAGAACAACAUCAACUCCUUCAUAUGUCCAUGCCCCCAGGACCGCCUCUCCUUUAAGUCCAAUAGCAAACCAACCCAGACCAACAGCAGCAAUAUCUACAGAACUUGAAUCCCAAUUGCUGCCAGAGAUGUGGAAUUCCUUUCUAACCCAUUUUCCAAGCUCUUGAACUCGUUUCUCCCCAAUUGGAGGCUGUAAUUGGAGACCAAAAUGGUCUUCUAACAUAGUGCUUGCAUUUUCUGUUUUCCCCAUAUGUAAGGGAAGAUAUGGAGAUGCCCAUACUGUGACAUACACAGAAUCUGCAGAUAAUUCUUCAAUGUCCAACCUUAUUAGCCCACCAAUAUGAACUGAAUGGCCUUCCUUGACUCUAUAUGUCCUUGGUUUCAAUUCCUUACUGAUGUGAACAAGCUUCUGCUCAUCUCUAGUUAGCCUUGUUGUAAUCUGAUGUGGAUUUAAAAGCCCCGGUGUGUCAAAUAACUUUGCCUGCCCAGGAAGAACACCCUCCACCUUGACAAUCCCUAAUGUUGUUCCAGGAACAGGGGCCUCCGUCAAAAGAGAUAACUUCCCUUCAUUUCCACCAGCCCACUUCCCCAUUGCAUUUAUCAAUGUACUUUUACCAGCGUUCUGCAUCCCUACAGCCCACACGUUCCCUCUAGGCCCUGCCAAUGUAAUCACAUCCUCAACCAAAUCCUUCAAUCCCCAGUCUUUAACUGCACUCACAAAAUGCACUUUCUUAAUCACACCGGCACCACCUUCCCUCGCUCUUUGUCUGACCCAAUGCUCUAAUCUAGUAGGUGAUAGAGAAGUGGGCAACAAGUCAAGCUUAGUCACCACAAGUACAAUUCGAGGCACAUUCCCUGAUUUCCCUUCCUUCCAUGCAGUGAAAUUCUCCUCAAUUGCUUCUGAUACUAACUUGGCUACCUUUUUCGGAAAUGACCCAUCAAAAUCCACCGCAUCCACAACCAAAAGAACCACCGAGCGAGCUCCAAUAGCCGACACCAAUCGCCUACCAACGGUGUGAUCGAAAUCGAAUUCUGGCAACAAGUUCUCCACCGUUGGAUCCUUCACUUUUCCGUAGUGUCUCAACGAGUGACACCGCGCGCACACAAUGGGUUUCUCCAUUGCCGAGCUUUGGGUCGAACCAGGAUUAUUGGCAGGGCCUUCAGGGUCAGUAACAACACCCCUUUUCAGGGAUUUUGAGAAUUCGAAUUCCAAUGAAACGGGAAUGAGAUGCUCCCCAGAUUUGUAAUUCGGGUCCUUGAUUGAGGGCUUGGUGAAGAAACCAGGAUGUUUAGGGUUUGAGUCCUGCAUGUGGAUCCCACAGCCGGGGCAAACGGCGGUGGGAUGAGUGGCAUCUUCAUAAUUUCCAUCACGACUGAGGAGCAAAGGAGAAGGUUGGUGUUUCGGCGGUGGGUUUAAACUGGUGGGUUUUGAAGAGAAAAAAGAGAAGGAAAGUGGAGCAGAGGGUAUUGGGAAUUGGUAAAAUUGGGUAUUUGAGAGAGAAGCUAAAGAUUGGGCAAAGGGAGAGAGGAAAAGAAAGGGCUUUAAUUGGGAUUUUGAAGCAGAGAGCUUUCUGGCUAUGAUCAUUUCUGCUCCUCUUUCUUAGUUUGAUUGGUGUUUUUACAAGCCGUAAAACGAAA